CCUACGGGUGGCAGCAGUGGGGAAUAUUGGACAAUGGGGGGAACCCUGAUCCAGCCAUGCCUCGUGUGUGAAGAAGGCCCUCGGGUUGUAAAGCACUUUCAGUGAGGAAGAACGCCUGGUGGUUAAUACCCAUCAGGAAAGACAUCACUCACAGAAGAAGCACCGGCUAACUCCGUGCCAGCAGCCGCGGUAAUACGGAGGGUGCGAGCGUUAAUCGGAAUUACUGGGCGUAAAGCGCGCGUAGGUGGCUUGAUAAGCCGGUUGUGAAAGCCCCGGGCUCAACCUGGGAACGGCAUCCGGAACUGUCAAGCUAGAGUGCAGGAGAGGAAGGUAGAAUUCCCGGUGUAGCGGUGAAAUGCGUAGAGAUCGGGAGGAAUACCAGUGGCGAAGGCGGCCUUCUGGACUGACACUGACACUGAGGUGCGAAAGCGUGGGUAGCAAACAGGAUUAGAUACCCCAGUAGUC
RNAcentral lists this ribosomal RNA (465 nucleotides) under Vreelandella stevensii. RNAcentral's name for it is "partial 16S ribosomal RNA". It matches the Rfam family "Bacterial small subunit ribosomal RNA", at positions 338 to 795 of the family's 1533-position model. Lineage: Bacteria; Pseudomonadati; Pseudomonadota; Gammaproteobacteria; Oceanospirillales; Halomonadaceae. The record is from RNAcentral.